UACGGAGGGUGCGAGCGUUGUCCGGAAUUAUUGGGCGUAAAGAGCUCGUAGGCGGUCUGUCGCGUCUGCUGUGAAAACUCAGGGCUUAACCCUGAGCUUGCAGUGGGUACGGGCAGACUAGAGUGCGGUAGGGGAGACUGGAAUUCCUGGUGUAGCGGUGAAAUGCGCAGAUAUCAGGAGGAACACCGGUGGCGAAGGCGGGUCUCUGGGCCGUAACUGACGCUGAGGAGCGAAAGCAUGGGGAGCGAACAGG
RNAcentral lists this ribosomal RNA (253 nucleotides) under uncultured bacterium. RNAcentral describes it as "partial 16S ribosomal RNA". It matches the Rfam family "Bacterial small subunit ribosomal RNA", at positions 524 to 776 of the family's 1533-position model. The record is from RNAcentral.